CUUAGAACAUCUCUGCUUCUCAUUCUUAACUUCCCGUUCUUCAUUUCUCAUCUCUGAUUUAUCUCUCUUCGAUCUGAUGGAAACCCUACUAAGCAUCGAAACAGAAGGAUUGAAGGCUAACACUCAGAUAUGUAUUCCUUUCUCUUUUUUUGUGUCAAAUUUUUACAAUUAACCUACCUAAUUUUUGUUUAGAUGUAGUAUUAUCUUACAUAAUUUCUGGAAAUGCUUAGCUUACAAAUUACGAUUUGGUUCUGCAAAAAAUAAAAGGCUUACACCCAGUUGUUUCGGUUUUGAUUCUGGAAUGUUUCGAUUUUGUCUCAUUUGCAAUGUAAAUCUUUCGAGUAUUUUUCCCCUAAUUUUAUGUCUAUAAAGCUGCCCUAAUUUAUGAAAUCUAAAGCUUAAAUUUACCGAUUUUCAUAUUGGUUUUUACUGAGGUUUGUAUUCACUGCAAAAAUACAUUUUCCCAGACUAUUAGAGGUUUUCUAAUUAAGCUCUAAGUUAAUUCUUUCAUUUUUUUUUUUUUAAAUCCAUAAAAGCAUUACAAUUAACUUUGCUAACUUAUAUUUUAUUUUAGGAAAAAUAUUUGGAGGCAUUAAAGCUACAAUCAACACAUUUAGAAGUAGUAUGAAAUUGAUCAAACUUGUUAUUAAAGGUGUAUGAAGACAUAGCUCUCAAAGGAAACAACCAUCACAGGAAUCCUUACACACCCUACCAGCAAGUUUUCAUCUUUACGCUUUAAAUUAGGAUUCAACUCAUCUGUCACUGUUAAAUGUGGAAUGUGGUUUAUUCUACAAAAAAAAAAAAAAAAGAGGUACGCACCAGUCGCAAAUUCAUGGCUGCCUCAGUUAUCAUAGGACUAAUAUCUCUUGCCAAGAUAUACACUGGAACCAUGGCUUUAGACGAAAUGCAGUUCUGGAAAUCACGUAUUUGAUAUGCAGUAGAAGUGUUCUAGUAUGAUGAUGUAUUUAUAGUUGAAGAUAAUCAAGUAUAUCAUUACUAUCCUUUAAUGCCGUAUUUUGGUAAACGAACCGUCCAUUGAAUUU
Molecule: long non-coding RNA, 1043 nt
Organism: Ipomoea nil (Japanese morning glory)
Lineage: Eukaryota; Viridiplantae; Streptophyta; Magnoliopsida; Solanales; Convolvulaceae
Exons: 4
Source: RefSeq, a predicted model, not a curated record